AAGUCGAACGAUGAAGGGGAGCUUGCUCCCUGGAUUAGUGGCGAACGGGUGAGUAACACGUGAGCAACCUGCCCCUAACUCUGGGAUAACGCUUCGAAAGGAGUGCUAAUACCGGAUACCAGCCAGGAGGACAUCCUCUUGGCCUGAAAGUUUUCGGUUAGGGAUGGGCUCGCGGCCUAUCAGCUAGUUGGUGAGGUAAAGGCUCACCAAGGCGACGACGGGUAUCCGGCCUGAGAGGACGACCGGACACACUGGGACUGAGACACGGCCCAGACUCC
Molecule: ribosomal RNA, 278 nt
Filed under: unidentified marine bacterioplankton
Lineage: Bacteria
Description: partial 16S ribosomal RNA
Rfam family: Bacterial small subunit ribosomal RNA
Source: RNAcentral